RNAcentral lists this ribosomal RNA (828 nucleotides) under Heterotruncatella spartii. Its description in RNAcentral is "partial 28S ribosomal RNA". It matches the Rfam family "Eukaryotic large subunit ribosomal RNA", at positions 69 to 922 of the family's 3401-position model. Lineage: Eukaryota; Fungi; Ascomycota; Sordariomycetes; Amphisphaeriales; Sporocadaceae. The record is from RNAcentral.
CAGGGAUUGCCUUAGUAACGGCGAGUGAAGCGGCAAUAGCUCAAAUUUGAAAUCUGGCGCUUGCGUCCGAGUUGUAAUUUGUAGAGGAUGAUUUUGGUUAGGUACCUUUCGAGUUCCUUGGAACAGGACGCCUUAGAGGGUGAGAGCCCCGUACGAUUGGAUGCCGAGCCUCUGUAAAUCUCCUUCGACGAGUCGAGUAGUUUGGGAAUGCUGCUCUAAAUGGGAGGUAAAUUUCUUCUAAAGCUAAAUACCGGCCAGAGACCGAUAGCGCACAAGUAGAGUGAUCGAAAGAUGAAAAGCACUUUGAAAAGAGGGUUAAAUAGCACGUGAAAUUGUUGAAAGGGAAGGAUUUAUGACCAGACUUUUUCUAGGAGGAUCAUCCGGUGUUCUCACCGGUGCACUUCUUCUAGUUUAGGCCAGCAUCGACUUCCGGCGGCGGAUAAAAGCUUUAGGAAUGUGGCUCCCUACGGGGAGUGUUAUAGCCUAUUGUAUAAUACGCUGCUGGGGGUCGAGGUACGCGCUUCUGCAAGGAUGCUGGCGUAAUGGUUAUCAAUCACCCGUCUUGAAACACGGACCAAGGAGUCGAACAUUUAUGCGAGUGUUUGGGUGUUAAACCCUCACGCGUAAUGAAAGUGAACGGAGGUGAGAGCCCUUACGGGUGCAUCAUCGACCGAUCCUGAAGUUUUCGGAUGGAUUUGAGUAAGAGCAUAACUGUUCGGACCCGAAAGAUGGUGAACUAUGCGUGGAUAGGGUGAAGCCAGAGGAAACUCUGGUGGAGGCUCGCAGCGGUUCUGACGUGCAAAUCGAUCGUCAAAUCUGCGCAUGGGG